Molecule: transfer RNA, 69 nt
Filed under: Centrobranchus choerocephalus
Lineage: Eukaryota; Metazoa; Chordata; Actinopteri; Myctophiformes; Myctophidae
Description: tRNA-Ala
Rfam family: tRNA
About the family: Transfer RNA (tRNA) molecules are approximately 80 nucleotides in length.
Source: RNAcentral
GAGGUUUUAGCUUAAUUAAAGUGUCUGUUUUGCAUGCAGGUGAUGCGGGAUAAUCCCCCGUAAAUCUUA